Molecule: ribosomal RNA, 233 nt
Filed under: uncultured bacterium
Lineage: Bacteria
Description: partial 16S ribosomal RNA
Rfam family: Bacterial small subunit ribosomal RNA
Source: RNAcentral
UGGCGGACGGGUGAGUAGCACGUGGAUAACCUACCCCGAGGUGAGGAAUACCGGCGAGAAAUCGCUGACAAGACCGCAUAGGUUUGGGUGACCAAACAAAGCUUGGGAAACCGAGCGCCACGGGAGGGGUCUGCGCCCGAUUAGUUGGUUGGUGGGGUAACGGCUCACCAAGACGACGAUCGGUAGCUGGUCUGAGAGGAUGAUCAGCCACACUGGGAUUGAGAACGGCCCAG